Long non-coding RNA from Salvia miltiorrhiza (redroot sage), 604 nucleotides. RefSeq lists it as uncharacterized. The record is from RefSeq and is a predicted model, not a curated record. NCBI's taxonomy places the organism in Eukaryota, Viridiplantae, Streptophyta, Magnoliopsida, Lamiales, Lamiaceae. The transcript has 2 exons.
AAUCGAUUUUGCGCCAAGGGUAUUGCAUUUCCAUUUGAACCAGAGCAAGAGCGGGUGAGGUUUUUCCAGUUUUUUGUUUGUUAAAUCGAAAAUGGCAUAUGACACGGCGGACCCCAGCCCAGAGUGCAAGGCCCAGCUGACGAUCAGAACCCUAACUCCGUCGACGCUGAAGCCAUUGAUUGCUAUAGCCGUGACCUAGAAAUCAGGGUUGCAAAAUUCCCAGAGUGUAUUGCUGCUUACUAUAGGUAUUGGCUUCUAUGCCGAAGAAAGAGGGCAUCUCUCAUGAAGAUUCCAGUAAAGAAAGUUCUUCAAAAAUUCCUGUCAAUGGUCAAUCCUCAGCUACCUCAACUGCAAAUAAUGCAAAGCAAGGUGAAAACGCAAAUCGAUCACAAACACAUUCUUAAUUAAAGCAGUUUAUGUUCCUUUCUAUGUGCAAUAAUGUUCUCAAUAGUUGCUAUACACCACGUGCUUAAGUGAGCUCAAUUGUGCUGCUGCAUAUGUUCUUAGAUUGUGUGUUUGUGAAUAACCUAUGAGGAUUGAGGGCUACACAAAUGUAUUAGUAUGUCAUGUGUUUUUUUUGUGAUACAUGUUCGAUAGUGCGUAG